GGAAGUAGACCGGAAGUAGAUGUUUCUUGCUUGGCCUGUCUUCUCUAAAGAAAGCCGUUCGUUUCCUCCCAUCGCUACUUUCCACCGAUGUAUUGGAAGAUCCUUGCCGUCUAGUCAGGAGAAUGUACAGCUUCAUAGCUUCUACCCCGAAUUCUUUCUUACGGUGUAACUUCUGCCCCUACCCCUCCUUAGGCUCUUAGGAGGCAACCAGCCUUGGCUGCCGGCCUCCAGUGCCUCGAGAGGCGGUGACGUUCGUCUGGGGCUGGGCUGAGGCUCCGGGGACAGCCCGACGUGCUUCGAGCGGUGCCAUGUCCAACGCUGAGCAGGCUGUGACCAGCGAACCCCAGCACGGUGCCUGAUUCAUGAAAAAGUGCUGUAGGAGGCCGGUCUUCCUUCCCAGUGAGGACCCGUGCAGGGGGAGCUCAGCGGGGCCACCGGCCGGCCCUCGGGCCAUGCACCUGGCCCUGUGUCCCCGGCAGCCAGGACGUGUUUUCACCUCUGAGCAGGGGGGUCUCCAGUCAACCCGAAGACACAGAGCCACGGCGCGAGUGAUGGGAGGAUUCUAGCACCUAUAGGACAUCUGACUCCCAAAUGCACUCGUCCCUUAGAAGGGAGGGCGUGCAAGAGGCAGGCUGCCCAGCGGUCCUGCGUCUCAGACCCCUCUUCCCUGAUCUCUGUACAUGCAUAUAUGACAUUAAAUCACUUGGCAGAACCCGAAUUGCAUAGGAGUGAAAAAGUCCUAAACAGCUAAGUGGUCCACUUACCCCGUGUUGCUAAACAUCUGGUAAAUAGUCACGUGGUCCCUAGCGAGCACACCCGCAUCCAGGAACUCCUGGGCCAAGCCUGCUAUUUGGAAUCCUGCAUUCAUCAUAUAACCUAAUGUCCUCGUGUAACCUAUUCAUCAAGUAACCCAUUGGGCUUGUCUUCAAUGUACCUUCGACGUCUUCAUCCUAGGAAAGUGUGAAUAAGUAAGGUCAAGGGCAGAGGCCUGGAGUCUGUCUUUGGAAACUUCCUUACAGGAGAUACAGGCGCUUUAUGGACCCUUCCCAAGCUGCUGCAAAAUGAUUGAUGGUUGGCCUUCUUUUAAUCCAAGUAAUGCAGAGUGUCUGAAGCUUUGGUAAUCGGAUCCUACUGACUUGAAGGACCACUGCCAAAAUAUCCAUAGCACAGAGGUUUGGCAACUCGAUUUAAUAGCAAAAGGAUUACAAAGUGCAAAACAAGCCCCACAACAGCUAUGAAAUGGGCCAAUUCAGAAACUGACUCAGGCUAAGAAGUUGUUCAGUGUUGCUGUCUCUCACUUGCUUUGUAUCCCCUGCUCAAACUACCUUCACCUUGGCCAAGGUUGGAGGCACCUGUGACACACAGAAGAGAAAAGAUGUCAAGGGAAAUCGACACGAGAUCAUAGACACCGUGUCUGGGGACAUGUCAGGCUCAAGGCCCGUGAAUUCCCAACGGCGACUCCUAGGUCCUCCCGGUGCAGAAAGACCUGGCGAGGUCCUCUGAAAGGGAGACCACAUGGCAAAUUUAGAUGCUAUCCCUCGUUUCUUUAGAGCGAGAAGUUGUGGCUCUCUGUGACGCUGGAUUUACCAACAAGAAUACAGUUUGCUCUGAGAGCCGUGGCUUGUUUGCCCUUCAGCAAACGUAUUAGGAUCACAGGAGAAAUUAAGGGAGAGUUUCUGACCGGACAUUUAUGUGGACUUUGUCAGAGCCCCGGCUUCAGAGGCCUCUUUCCGUUCUGGGCACAAAUAUGGAGGCUCCAGUGUGAAACCUUCGGUCCUCUGCUCCAGGAGAGGCUAGGGAUAAGAGAAUGUCAGCAAGAAGGGCCUGGAGAAGCCAGCUCCGUCUGGGCACCUAACACCCUAUUUGCUUGGCUCUCACUUGCAUGAGUUCCUGGACAAAACAAAAUUCUAACACAAAACCCAGAAGUUCAGCACACGUCUCUAUUAGGCAACUUUAGUCGCUUAAAAAAAAAAAAAAAAAAAGUGCAAAUGCAGACUCCUGCGUAAAUCUGAUUUGCCAUGCUAGGCCAAGCUUGUUUUAUUACAUACAUUCUGCAUCCUAAGAACUAAUAACUUCAUAUUGUAAACAUUAAGCAUACAGAGUUAAAAGUCAAGGCCACAUUCUAUCGUUGAUUGUCUCUUUUGUCGUGUAUCUUUGGCUGGCCGAGAUCAACUCGUAGUGUAUAAAUGCAUAAGUUAUAUAAUUAUUAUAUAAAAAGGAAAAAAA
Long non-coding RNA from Mustela erminea (ermine), 2226 nucleotides. RefSeq lists it as uncharacterized. The transcript is spliced from 3 exons. The record is from RefSeq and is a predicted model, not a curated record. Lineage: Eukaryota; Metazoa; Chordata; Mammalia; Carnivora; Mustelidae.